RNAcentral lists this ribosomal RNA (497 nucleotides) under uncultured bacterium. Its description in RNAcentral is "partial 16S ribosomal RNA". It matches the Rfam family "Bacterial small subunit ribosomal RNA", at positions 28 to 507 of the family's 1533-position model. The record is from RNAcentral.
GAUGAACGCUGGCGGCGUGCCUAAUACAUGCAAGUCGAGCGAACAGACGAGGAGCUUGCUUCUCUGACGUUAGCGGCGGACGGGGGAGUAAAACGUGGAUAACUCACCUCUGAGACUGGGGUAACUUCGGGAAACCGGACGCAAUACCGGCUUAUAUCUUGAACCGCAUGGUUCGAUAGUGCAAGACGGUUUUGCUGUCACUUAUCGAUGGAUCGGCGACGUAUUAGCUAGUUGGUAGGGUAACGGCCUACCAAGGCGACGAUCCGUAGCUGAUCUGAGAGGAUGAUCAGCCACACUGGAACUGAGACACGGUCCAGACUCCUACGGGAGGCAGCAGUGGGGAAUAUUGGACAAUGGGCGAAAGCCUGAUCCAGCAACACCGCGUGAGUGAAGAAGGCCUUCGGAUUGUAAAGCCCUUUUAUUGGGAAAGAAAUAUUUUAGGCUAAUACACUGGGAGCAUGACGGUACCCAAAGAAUAAGCACCGGCUAACUUCGUG